Long non-coding RNA from Papaver somniferum (opium poppy), 558 nucleotides. RefSeq lists it as uncharacterized. Lineage: Eukaryota; Viridiplantae; Streptophyta; Magnoliopsida; Ranunculales; Papaveraceae. The record is from RefSeq and is a predicted model, not a curated record. The transcript is spliced from 3 exons.
UUGGUUUGUAUUUCUAGGUAUGUUCAGUGGGGUGAGAUCACCCACAAGGUUGAUGUCUAUGCUUUCGGGGUUGUCCUAUAUGAACUUAUAUCAGCAAAAGAAGCUAUUGUUAGGUCUAAUGGUUCCAGUGCUGCAAGAGGACUCGUCUAUAUGUUUGAAGAAGUUCUUAAUCAGCCUGGGUCAGAUGAAGAUUUAUGCAAACUAGUAGACCCAAGACUUGGAGACGACUACCCUUCUGAUUCGGUCCGUAAGUUAGCUCAACUUGCUUGCACACAAGAGAAUCCCCAAUUGAGACCUACCAUGAGGUCAAUUGUGGUCGCAUUAAUGACACUUUCAUCAUCCACAGAUGUUGGCUCCUUCUACGAAAACCACGGUCUAGUGAAUCUAAUGUCAGCAAAGUAAAUUAUGGAAACUACCUCGUGACAACUAUUUUCCUUGGCAACUCUGACACUUUCAUUUGUAUAUCUAUGUUGGUACGCCAUUGCAUGUCAUGUAAAUGCCAAGAACUGUACUGAGUGUUUAAAAGGUUUUAAUAUAACUGAUUAGCUGCUUGGUGAA